Molecule: unclassified non-coding RNA, 804 nt
Filed under: uncultured Prochlorococcus sp.
Lineage: Bacteria; Bacillati; Cyanobacteriota; Cyanophyceae; Synechococcales; Prochlorococcaceae
Description: partial 16S-23S ribosomal RNA intergenic spacer; may also contain 16S ribosomal RNA and 23S ribosomal RNA
Rfam family: tRNA (bases 349-421)
Source: RNAcentral
UUGUGGAGGAGGACGCCGAAGGUGGGGCUAAUGACUGGGGUGAAGUCGUAACAAGGUAGCCGUGCCGGAAGGUGCGGCUGGAUCACCUCCUAACAGGGAGACACAACUGAUUAUGAUGUUUGAAUGAUUUAAAUCAAGCCAUAAUCCUGUCACCUUAGGUCGAUCGGUACCUCAAUUUUAUAUUUGAAAAUAGUAUUUUAUCUAUUCAAAAUUAUGAAAUUCAGUUCCUAAACUUUGUCUAGGUCACACCCAGCAAGGUACUCCUGGGCCAUUAGCUCAGGUGGUUAGAGCGCACCCCUGAUAAGGGUGAGGUCCCUGGUUCAAGUCCAGGAUGGCCCAUUCGGUGUUGGGGGUAUAGCUCAGUUGGUAGAGCGCCUGCUUUGCAAGCAGGAUGUCAGCGGUUCGAGUCCGCUUACCUCCACUGACUGACCUUCUGAAAUCGGAGCUUGUGGAGACUUUUCUUCGAUGUGAUCUAGAAUUUGUUCCUGAAUAGUUUGAACCUAGCUUCUUAUCAUUCCAUCAGAAAUUAAUUUUUUUAGAUUUGGUUGAUAUGGCGCUGGGCUCUCUGCAAAUUAAUUUGCGAGAAGUUCAGUAGAACCUUGACAACUGCAUAGGUAAGUCUGGAAUAAAUAAAGCAUCUCAUGGAUGAAUUAUUUUCUUAAACAGAUUUCAAAGAUGUUUGAUUUAAUCAAAUCUUCUUUGAUUUGUUAGAGAUUAUAAUUUUGAUUCUUGAGUUAAGAGCAAUUCUUUAUAACGAACUUUUUUUGAAGUCAUCGUUAUAAAGGUUUAAUGGUCAAGCUACAA